UACGUAGGGGGCAAGCGUUAUCCGGAUUUACUGGGUGUAAAGGGAGCGUAGGCGGUGAUGCAAGUCAGAAGUGAAAGCCCGCAGCUCAACUGCGGGACUGCUUUUGAAACUGUAUGACUAGAUUGCAGGAGAGGUAAGUGGAAUUCCUAGUGUAGCGGUGAAAUGCGUAGAUAUACGGAGGAACACCAGUGGCGAAGGCGGCCUGCUGGACAAUAACUGACGCUGAGGCGCGAAAGCGUGGGGAGCAAACAGG
This 253-nucleotide ribosomal RNA is filed under the name uncultured Coprococcus sp. Its description in RNAcentral is "partial 16S ribosomal RNA". It matches the Rfam family "Bacterial small subunit ribosomal RNA", at positions 524 to 776 of the family's 1533-position model. The record is from RNAcentral. Lineage: Bacteria; Bacillati; Bacillota; Clostridia; Lachnospirales; Lachnospiraceae.